RNAcentral lists this transfer RNA (66 nucleotides) under Urocitellus parryii (Arctic ground squirrel). RNAcentral describes it as "Spermophilus parryii (Arctic ground squirrel) tRNA". It matches the Rfam family "tRNA". From Rfam's summary of the family: Transfer RNA (tRNA) molecules are approximately 80 nucleotides in length. Their secondary structure includes four short double-helical elements and three loops (D, anti-codon, and T loops). Lineage: Eukaryota; Metazoa; Chordata; Mammalia; Rodentia; Sciuridae. RNAcentral also lists the same sequence under 1 other name. The record is from Rfam by way of RNAcentral.
GUGGCUGUGGCUCAGUGGUAGAGCACUUUGCUUGCAAGAGCACUGGGUUCGAUCCUCAGCACCACA